AGGGCUUCAAAUUCGUAUUCAACAUGCACUGAAGUCGGUUUUGUGUGUGUUUUUUCUCAAGUGAAGCCGAGAAUGAGGUUCUCCUCGCUAUCUAAUGCCAUAUAUAAGUGUGGUAUUUGGACGUCGGAGAACUAAAUUA
Rosa chinensis is the source of this 139-nucleotide small nucleolar RNA. RefSeq annotates it as small nucleolar RNA snoR136. The transcript has a single exon. The record is from RefSeq and is a predicted model, not a curated record. NCBI's taxonomy places the organism in Eukaryota, Viridiplantae, Streptophyta, Magnoliopsida, Rosales, Rosaceae.